This 253-nucleotide ribosomal RNA is filed under the name uncultured bacterium. RNAcentral describes it as "partial 16S ribosomal RNA". It matches the Rfam family "Bacterial small subunit ribosomal RNA", at positions 524 to 776 of the family's 1533-position model. The record is from RNAcentral.
UACAGAGGGUGCGAGCGUUGUCCGGAAUCACUGGGCGUAAAGGGCGCGUAGGCGGCGCGGUAAGCGUGCGGUGAAAGCCCGGGGCUCAACCCCGGGUCGGCCGUGCGGACUGCCGGGCUGGAGCACUGUAGAGGCAGGUGGAAUUCCGGGUGUAGCGGUGGAAUGCGUAGAGAUCCGGAAGAACACCGGUGGCGAAGGCGGCCUGCUGGGCAGUAGCUGACGCUGAAGCGCGACAGCGCGGGGAGCAAACAGG